Molecule: ribosomal RNA, 356 nt
Filed under: uncultured bacterium
Lineage: Bacteria
Description: partial 16S ribosomal RNA
Rfam family: Bacterial small subunit ribosomal RNA
Source: RNAcentral
CCUACGGGUGGCUGCAGUGAGGAAUAUUGGUCAAUGGGCGCGAGCCUGAACCAGCCAAGUAGCGUGAAGGAUGACUGCCCUACGGGUUGUAAACUUCUUUUAUAAAGGAAUAAAGUGAGGCACGUGUGCCUUUUUGUAUGUACUUUAUGAAUAAGGAUCGGCUAACUCCGUGCCAGCAGCCGCGGUAAUACGGAGGAUCCGAGCGUUAUCCGGAUUUAUUGGGUUUAAAGGGAGCGUAGAUGGGUUGUUAAGUCAGUUGUGAAAGUUUGCGGCUCAACCGUAAAAUUGCAAUUGAUAAUGGCAGGCUUGAGUACAGGUGAGGUAGGGGGAAUUCGGGGUGGAGCGGGGAAAAGCUU